Sinocyclocheilus anshuiensis is the source of this 141-nucleotide long non-coding RNA. RefSeq lists it as uncharacterized. The record is from RefSeq and is a predicted model, not a curated record. NCBI's taxonomy places the organism in Eukaryota, Metazoa, Chordata, Actinopteri, Cypriniformes, Cyprinidae. The transcript has 2 exons.
UGACCUGGUCUGGUGUCAAGAGGAGCAUAAGAACCAGGGAUACUACGACUACGUAAAGCCCCGCAUGCGCACCACCAUCGACCGUGCCAAGCCUGUCUGGUAUGCCGGCCGUGAGCCUGCCGCCGCCCCGGCCACAGGAAA